RNAcentral lists this transfer RNA (69 nucleotides) under Marmota monax (woodchuck). It matches the Rfam family "tRNA". From Rfam's summary of the family: Transfer RNA (tRNA) molecules are approximately 80 nucleotides in length. Their secondary structure includes four short double-helical elements and three loops (D, anti-codon, and T loops). Lineage: Eukaryota; Metazoa; Chordata; Mammalia; Rodentia; Sciuridae. The record is from Rfam by way of RNAcentral.
GGAAUUGUGGCUCAGUGGUAGAGUGCUCACCUAGAAUGUAUGAGGCCCUGGGUUCAAUCCACAGCACCA